AUUGAACGCUGGCGGCAGGCCUAACACAUGCAAGUCGAACGGUAACAGGAAGCAGCUUGCUGCUUCGCUGACGCGUGGCGGACGGGUGAGUAAUGUCUGGGACGCUGCCUGAUGGAGGGGGUUAACUACUGGAAACGGUGGCUAUUACCGCAUAUUGUCGCAAGCCCAAAGGGGGGUACCUUAGGGCCUCUUGCCUUCGGCUUUGACCAGAAUGCGCGUGGGAUUAGCUAGUUGGUGGGGUAACGGCUUACCAAGGCCACGAUUCGUAGCCGACCUGAGAGGGUGAGCAGCCACACUGGAACUGAGACACGGUCCAGACUCCUACGGGAGGCAGCAGUAGGGAAUAUUGCACAAUGGGCGAAAGCCUGAUGCAGCCAUGCCGCGUGUAUGAAGAAGGCCUUCGGGUUGUAAAGUACUUUCAGCGGGGAGGAAGGGAGUAAAGUGAAUCCCUGCGCGCAUUGACGUUGCCCGCAGAAGAAGCACCGGCUAACUCCGUG
Molecule: ribosomal RNA, 497 nt
Filed under: uncultured bacterium
Lineage: Bacteria
Description: partial 16S ribosomal RNA
Rfam family: Bacterial small subunit ribosomal RNA
Source: RNAcentral